CCAGUCCACUGUUGAUGGAUGUUUUAGGUGGAUUCCAUGUCUUUGCUAUUGUGAAUAGAAUACUGUGAUGAACAUACACUUGCAUAUGUCUGCCUUCAUGACAAAGACUCCAAAAGCAACAGUCUUACUUUCAGUCCAGUGCUUAAAUCCUUUCAACUCAGUGUCCAGUGUAUAGGUAUACACACUAUGUAUAUGUAUACACAGAUAUAUGCAUGUGCAUAUGUGCGUACACACACUCACACACGUGAACCUCCUAUAGCAGACCAUUCUUGGUGCUCCCUCAUGUUCCCUCAAUCUUAUAACUUCAAUGCAGACCAACCUAACUUGCAACUCCAAAUUCAAUGCCUGAGGACUUUCUUUGCACCAAAGCACUUUGUCCACCCAUUUGGCAGGCUAGAAGUGCAGCCCUCAGCCAAGGACUAUCGGGAGUUGGUAUAUAAAUCCCCCAACUCCCUUUCCCAUCACAGGGAGAGCUCCGAGGUUUAGGGCCUACACUGUUUCUCAGAAAUUUUCCCAGUGGAAUUAAGCUUCAGGUGCUCUCAACUGCAAUGAGUUUCAAAAUAUACACUUUAUUUCUGCCUUCUCUUUACUGUCUCAUUCUCCACUCCCCUACUGUUUUUUCCUGGGAUCAUCUCUAAAAUACCUGACUUGAAUCCUUAUCUUAGGAUUUUCUUCAGAACCUAAGUUUGGGGAAUCCAAAGUAAGACAUUCCUCAUCCCUAAAUUUAGGGUAAUGAUGCUCCCAUAGUGAGCAUUAAGUGAGAAAAUUGCAUGUAAAGUGUAAAUCACAGUGCCUGGUUCAAGUAGGUGAUCAUUAAUAUUUAUUAUUAUUACUGCUAUCCCCAUUUUUGUUAAAGCAUAUUUCCUCACUAUCUUCUGAUCUUUCCAGGCUCUCACCAUCUCAUUUGCUGUCUCUUUCCAACACUGUGGCUUUCAUCCCCAACCACUAAAAUGCAGGCUGACCAAAGGAGGACAGUAGCCCUGUAUUCAUUGGCAUCAGUCACUUGUGGCUUCUCAACAGACCUUCUACCCAGGUGUCCAGAUUCCUCAGGAAUCUUUGGGAAGCAAAAUCAACGGGGAACUCAGUGGCAACAAGCUGUGUGUUAUUUUUCUGUAUUAUAACUUUGCAUCUGUGUUUCCCCUUCUGGCUGGAGCAGAAGCAGGAGCCACUUCAUGCUGUUGGGUGCAGGCUCUGGUGAUGACGAUCAAAGAGUAAAGGUUAUUGGUCCCAGACAUGACAGUUUCAUCUCCAGGGGCCAUAAACAGUAGUGGCUCCGGAAUCCAAGCAAAAAGGUGAAUGAGAAAAACAGAGUAAUGUAGUACAUGAUGAGCUGGAGAAUGGGAUCCCAGCCUAAAGAAUUUUAAAUUAAGAUAUUUAAAAACUGUGUGAGAGCCAAGAAAUCCAUAUAUAGCCCCACAAAAUGUGCACCCCCGCCUUUGCCCGAACCCAGCCUUAACAGUUUACAAAGUUUUGUUGCAGUCUACAAACCAUUUACGAAGCAUUUGGUCCUCUUUACAGUCUUGUGUGGUCAGCCAGAAUUUAUUAUCAGAAUCUCCAUUUUAGAGUGCAAGGAAUUGAGGACCUCAACAUUUAAAUGCCUCUUCUAAGAAAAGAGCACACAGUUAAAACGCAUGAAAUAUCUGAUUCUAAACACUGUGUUGUUUCUAUGAACACACUCAGAGGUGGGGUUUUGGGGACAGAAUCUCCUUCACAAGGUUGUGGAGGGUUGAAUCACCGAUGAACUAAACUCUUGUUGAAAAGGGAGAGUCUUCAAAAGAGUGAGUAUGAUUUAUGGCAACUCAUCCAUGUCAGCAGAUCAGUCACUCAGAGAGGAUAAUAAACUCACCGAAUAAAGGACAAAAGGAUAUUCGACAUGAGGGCAGGACUUUUCGUUCACGGUGUAUACUGGGUCUAAUGUUGCCCCUCAAAUUCAUGUCCACCCAGGACCUCAGAAUAUGUCCUCAUUUGAAAAGAGGGUCUUUGCUAACAUGACUAAGGUAAAAAGUGAGGUGAGAUCAUACUGGAAUUUGGACCCUGAACCCAGUGAAUAUCCUUGUAACAUGAUGUUAUCUGUCCUAUAGGAGCUUCCUGAUGAUUCCAUGUCAAGAUGGUUGUGAAAGUUCAGUGCCUGGUGCAUGCAACCUGGCACUGGAGGCAGAAGAAGGAUUCUAUGAUUGGAAACCUUCCAGACUCACCUGCUACGGAGAAGAAAGGCUAAAUCCACCAGACUGUUGGAUGGACUUAAAACAAAUUGCCCUCUGCAGCUAGGUUUCUUAUUAAUAUACUCAUAGAAAUGCACGAGAACUGAAAACUUGAUAGGGAAACCAAAAAAUAAAAGUAAAGCUAUAAACCAAUGUUUCUUAAAACAUGCUCUGCAGAACACUCGUUUGGUGGAAUGUAAAGCAUUUUUUCAUAUUAAAGGUGUUAAUCGUGUUUCUCUGCUA
This is a non-coding RNA of Chlorocebus sabaeus (green monkey), 2444 nucleotides long. NCBI's taxonomy places the organism in Eukaryota, Metazoa, Chordata, Mammalia, Primates, Cercopithecidae. The record is from RefSeq and is a predicted model, not a curated record.